UUGAAGUGAAAAUUCAAGGAUAAUCUAGUGCAUGAACUUCAAUUUACACUCAUCUAAACUCGAAUAUUGAAGUGGUAAGUUCAAUUUCUUGAAAUUAUGAUUUGCGUGAAAGAAGAAGGUUCAAACACUAGGAAAUCGGAAGGCUCACAAGAUCGAGGUAAAUCCUCAACAUAAGCGAUUGGACGAUUUGGAACGAGCACACAUGAUCUAUGCCCACCUCACGCUUCCGACAAUGCUAACUUAAUAUGGUCUUAAUUUUUGGUUUUAUGUACUUUCAACUUAUGUAGUCUUUUGAUGUCCUUGUAGUAUGGUCAAUGACUUUGUCGUUGUAGUCUUGUUUUUGAACA
RNAcentral lists this long non-coding RNA (347 nucleotides) under Helianthus annuus (common sunflower). RNAcentral's name for it is "hypothetical non coding rna". The record is from RNAcentral. Lineage: Eukaryota; Viridiplantae; Streptophyta; Magnoliopsida; Asterales; Asteraceae.